This 254-nucleotide ribosomal RNA is filed under the name uncultured bacterium. RNAcentral describes it as "partial 16S ribosomal RNA". It matches the Rfam family "Bacterial small subunit ribosomal RNA", at positions 524 to 776 of the family's 1533-position model. The record is from RNAcentral.
UACGUAGGGUGCGAGCGUUGUCCGGAAUUACUGGGCGUAAAGAGCUCGUAGGUGGUUUGUCGCGUUGUUCGUGAAAACUCACAGCUCAACUGUGGGCGUGCGGGCGAUACGGGCAGACUGGAGUACUGCAGGGGAGACUGGAAUUCCUGGUGUAGCGGUGGAAUGCGCAGAUAUCAGGAGGAACACCGAUGGCGAAGGCAGGUCUCUGGGCCGCGAACUGACGCUGAGGAGCGAAAGCAUGGGGAGCGAACAGG